Molecule: ribosomal RNA, 254 nt
Filed under: uncultured bacterium
Lineage: Bacteria
Description: partial 16S ribosomal RNA
Rfam family: Bacterial small subunit ribosomal RNA
Source: RNAcentral
UACAUGGGGUGCAAACGUUGCUCGGAAUCAUUGGGCGUAAAGCGCGCGUAGGCGGUUACUUAAGUUGGAUGUGAAAGCCCUCGGCUUAACUGAGGAAGUGCAUCCAAAACUGAGUAGCUAGAGUACGAAAGAGGGUCGCGGAAUUCCCGGUGUAGAGGUGAAAUUCGUAGAUAUCUGGAGGAACACCGGUGGCGAAGGCGGCAUCCUGGACCAACACUGACGCUGAGUGAGCGAAAGCCAGGGGAGCAAACGGG